ACGCUGACAGAAUGCUUAACACAUGCAAGUCUUUGGCGAAGCUGUGCUUGCACAGCCUAGCCAAGGCGGACGGGUGAGUAACGCGUAAGGAACUUGCCCUGCAGUCAGGGAUAACAGACGGAAACGACUGAUAAGACCUGAUAAAGUCAGGCGGACUCAUGUCCAGCCUGAUGAAAAGAGAUGCUGCAGGAGAGCCUUGCGUCCUAUUAGCUUGUUGGUGGGGUAACGGCCCACCAAGGCGAUGAUAGGUAGCCGGCCUGAGAGGGUGGACGGCCACAAGGGGACUGAGAUACGGCCCUUACUCCUACGGGAGGCAGCAGUGGGGAAUAUUGGACAAUGGGGGCAACCCUGAUCCAGCAAUUCUGUGUGCACGAUGAAGGUUUUCGGAUUGUAAAGUGCUUUCAGCAGGGAAGAAAAAAAUGACGGUACCUGCAGAAGAAGCGACGGCUAAAUACGUGCCAGCAGCCGCGGUAAUACGUAUGUCGCAAGCGUUAUCCGGAAUUAUUGGGCAUAAAGGGCAUCUAGGCGGCCAGAUAAGUCUGGGGUGAAAACUUGCGGCUCAACCGCAAGCCUGCCCUGGAAACUAUGUGGCUAGAGUACUGGAGAGGUGGACGGAACUGCACGAGUAGAGGUGAAAUUCGUAGAUAUGUGCAGGAAUGCCGAUGAUGAAGAUAGUUCACUGGACGGUAACUGACGCUGAAGUGCGAAAGCUAGGGGAGCAAACAGGAUUAGAUACCCUGGUAGUCCUAGCUGUAAACGAUGAUUACUGGGUGUGGGCAUGAAGAGUGUCCGUGCCGAAGCUAAUGCGAUAAGUAAUCCGCCUGGGGAGUACGGCCGCAAGGCUGAAACUCAAAGGAAUUGACGGGGACCCGCACAAGCGGUGGAGCAUGUGGUUUAAUUCGA
This 903-nucleotide ribosomal RNA is filed under the name uncultured bacterium. Its description in RNAcentral is "bacterial SSU rRNA". It matches the Rfam family "Bacterial small subunit ribosomal RNA", at positions 33 to 954 of the family's 1533-position model. The record is from RNAcentral.